Molecule: ribosomal RNA, 481 nt
Filed under: uncultured bacterium
Lineage: Bacteria
Description: partial 16S ribosomal RNA
Rfam family: Bacterial small subunit ribosomal RNA
Source: RNAcentral
GAUGAACGCUGGCGGCGUGCCUAACACAUGCAAGUCGAACGGAGAUUACGGACGGAAGUUUUCGGAUGGAAGUCUGUAAUUCUUAGUGGCGGACGGGUGAGUAACGCGUGGGCAACCUGCCCUAUACAGGGGGAUAGCAGCUGGAAACGGCUGGUAAGACCGCAUAAGUCGGUUAAAUCGCAUGAUUUGAUCGGGAAAUGAGCAAUCAGGUAUAGGAUGGGCCCGCGUCCGAUUAGCCAGUUGGCAGGGUAAAAGCCUACCAAAGCGACGAUCGGUGGCCGGACUGAGAGGUCGGACGGCCACAUUGGGACUGAGACACGGCCCAAACUCCUACGGGAGGCAGCAGUGGGGGAUAUUGCACAAUGGAGGAAACUCUGAUGCAGCGACGCCGCGUGAGUGAAGAAGUAUUUCGGUAUGUAAAGCUCUAUCAGCAGGGAAGAUGAUGACGGUACCUGACUAAGAAGCCCCGGCUAACUACGUG